Molecule: ribosomal RNA, 578 nt
Filed under: Psychomantis borneensis
Lineage: Eukaryota; Metazoa; Arthropoda; Insecta; Mantodea; Hymenopodidae
Description: eukaryotic LSU rRNA
Rfam family: Eukaryotic large subunit ribosomal RNA
Source: RNAcentral
GCAUAGGCGUGAGCCGCUCUUCUGGGGCGGCGAGCGCGCGAAGCCCCGGCGAGUAGGAGGGCGCGGCGGUGUGCGCGGAAGGGUCUGGGCGUGAGCCUGCCUGGAGCCGCCGCCGGUGCAGAUCUUGGUGGUAGUAGCAAAUACUCAAGCGAGGGCCUUGAGGGCUGAUGUGGAGAAGGGUUUCGUGUGAACAGCCGUUGCACACGAGUCAGUCGAUCCUAAGCCCUAGGAGAAAUCCGAUGUCGAUGCGGGGGGUUUACAUUGCUCCCCCUCGAUGGGCGAAAGGGAAUCCGGUUCCUAUUCCGGAACCCGGCAGCGGAACCGAAUCUACGGGCCCUCGUCAGAGAAGCUCGUCGGGGUAACCCAAAGGGACCCGGAGACGCCGUCGGGAGACCCGGGCAGAGUUUUCUGUUCUGCAUAAGCGUUCGAGUUCCCUGGAAUCCUCUAGCAGGGAGAUAGGGUUUGGAACGCGAAGAGCACCGCAGUUGCGGCGGUGUCCGGGUCGUCCCCUCGGACCUUGAAAAUCCGGGAGAGGGUCACGCGGAGGUGUCGCGCCGGCUCGUACCCAUAUCCGCAGC